ACGUUGUUCGGAAUCACUGGGCUUAAAGGGCGCGUAGGCGGGUGGCUAAGUCUGUGGUGAAAUCCGGCAGCUCAACUGUCGAAUUGCCCUGGAUACUGGUCAUCUCGAGGGAGGCAGGGGUGCGCGGAACUAAUGGUGGAGCGGUGAAAUGCGUUGAUAUCAUUAGGAACUCCGGUGGCGAAGGCGGCGCACUGGUCCUCUUCUGACGCUGAGGCGCGAAAGCCAG
RNAcentral lists this ribosomal RNA (226 nucleotides) under uncultured bacterium. RNAcentral describes it as "partial 16S ribosomal RNA". It matches the Rfam family "Bacterial small subunit ribosomal RNA", at positions 538 to 763 of the family's 1533-position model. The record is from RNAcentral.